GAUGAACGCUGGCGGCGUGCUUAACACAUGCAAGUCGAACGAGAAGUGAAGACGGAAACCUUCGGGCGGAAGGCUUUAUUUCGAUUGGCGGACGGGUGAGUAACGCGUGGGUAACCUGCCUCAUACAGGGGGAUAACAGUUGGAAACGACUGUUAAUACUGCAUAAGACCACAGCACCGCAUGGUGCGGGGGUAAAAACUCCGGUGGUAUGAUAUGGACCCGCGUUGGAUUAGCCAGUUGGCGUGGUAACGGCCCACCAAAGCGACGAUCGAUAGCCGAACAGUGAGGCUGGCCGGCGACAUUGGGGCUGAGACACGGCCCAAACUCCUACGCGAGGCAGCAGUGGGGGAUAGUGCACAGUGGCGGAAGCCAUGAUGCACCGACGCCGGGAGAGUGAAGAAGUAUUGCGGUAUGUAAAGCGCAAUCAGCAGGGAAGAAAAUGACGGUACCUGAGCAAGAAGCCCCGGCUAACUACGUG
Molecule: ribosomal RNA, 478 nt
Filed under: uncultured bacterium
Lineage: Bacteria
Description: partial 16S ribosomal RNA
Rfam family: Bacterial small subunit ribosomal RNA
Source: RNAcentral